UCGUAGCCGAGCAAACCUGACGAUGUU
This 27-nucleotide small RNA is filed under the name Bombyx mori (domestic silkworm). RNAcentral describes it as "ovarian small RNA-29124". The record is from RNAcentral. Lineage: Eukaryota; Metazoa; Arthropoda; Insecta; Lepidoptera; Bombycidae.